Molecule: small RNA, 401 nt
Filed under: Medicago arabica
Lineage: Eukaryota; Viridiplantae; Streptophyta; Magnoliopsida; Fabales; Fabaceae
Description: eukaryotic LSU rRNA
Rfam family: Eukaryotic large subunit ribosomal RNA (bases 268-401)
Source: RNAcentral
GUUGCGCCCGAUGCCAUUAGGUUGAGGGCACGUCUGCCUGGGUGUCACAUAUCGAAGCCCCUUGCCAAUUUCCUAUUGAAUAGGUAUUGUGUGCAGGGUGAAUAUGUUGGCCUCCCGUGAGCUCUGUCUCAUGGUUGGUUGAAAUUUGAGACCUUGGUAGGGUGUGCCAUGAUAGAUGGUGGAUGUGUGACCCACGAGACCAAAUCAUGUGCAGCUCUAUUGAAUGUGGACUCUUUUACCCACAUGCGUUUUGUAACGCUCGUGAUGAGACCUCAGGUCAGGCGGGGCUACCCGCUGAAUUUAAGCAUAUCAAUAAGCGGAGGAAAAGAAACUAACAAGGAUUCCCUUAGUAACGGCGAGCGAACCGGGAUAAGCCCACCAUGAGAAUCGGUCGCCCUCGG